This 469-nucleotide ribosomal RNA is filed under the name uncultured bacterium. RNAcentral describes it as "partial 16S ribosomal RNA". It matches the Rfam family "Bacterial small subunit ribosomal RNA", at positions 28 to 507 of the family's 1533-position model. The record is from RNAcentral.
GAUGAACGCUGGCGGCGUGCUUAACACAUGCAAGUCGAACGGUGAACACGGAGCUUGCUCUGUGGGAUCAGUGGCGAACGGGUGAGUAACACGUGAGCAACCUGCCCCUGACUCUGGGAUAAGCGCUGGAAACGGCGUCUAAUACUGGAUAUGUGACGUGACCGCAUGGUCUGCGUUUGGAAAGAUUUUUCGGUUGGGGAUGGGCUCGCGGCCUAUCAGCUUGUUGGUGAGGUAAUGGCUCACCAAGGCGUCGACGGGUAGCCGGCCUUAGAGGGUGACCGGGCACACUGGGACUGGGAAACGGCCCAGACUCCUACGGGAGGCAGCAGUGGGGAAUAUUGCACAAUGGGCGCAAGCCUGAUGCAGCAACGCCGCGUGAGGGAUGACGGCCUUCGGGUUGUAAACCUCUUUUAGCAGGGAAGAAGCGAAAGUGACGGUACCUGCAGAAAAAGCGCCGGCUAACUACGUG